This 161-nucleotide ribosomal RNA is filed under the name uncultured bacterium. RNAcentral describes it as "partial 16S rRNA". It matches the Rfam family "Bacterial small subunit ribosomal RNA", at positions 358 to 511 of the family's 1533-position model. The record is from RNAcentral.
GGAAUCUUCGGCAAUGGACGAAAGUCUGACCGAGCAACGCCGCGUGAGUGAAGAAGGUUUUCGGAUCGUAAAACUCUGUUGUUAGAGAAGAACAAGGGUGAGAGUAACUGUUCAUACGUUGACGGUAUUUAACCAGAAAGUCACGGCUAACUACGCGCCAG